RNAcentral lists this long non-coding RNA (1829 nucleotides) under Gossypium barbadense (sea-island cotton). RNAcentral describes it as "long non-coding RNA (GBAR_LNC018291)". The record is from RNAcentral. Lineage: Eukaryota; Viridiplantae; Streptophyta; Magnoliopsida; Malvales; Malvaceae.
AUUAGUUGGCCUAUCCGUUGCAAGUGCUAGAGCACCUAAUGUAUCCAUGAUGAGGUUCACCCAUAGCAGUUGAACCGUAGUCAACGGAACCUCACCGGCUGAAACUGCUGCAAUGAAGUUGAUCACGAGAGCUGCGACAUUUACGGUAAGUUGAAAUUGAAUGAAUUUUUGUAUGUUAUUGUAAACACAUCUUCCCCACCUUAAAACUGUGGCAACUGAGCUAAAAUUGUCAUCUAAGAUGACAAUGUCCGAGCUCUCCUUGGCUACCUCAGUGCCUUGAAUGCCCAUUGAAAGUCCGAUAUCAGCUUCUUUUAGUGCAGGAGCAUCAUUGGUGCCAUCCCCUGUGACCGCGACCACAUGACCUUUCUGUUUCAAGCACUGUACCAUCAAAAGCUUGUCAAAUGGUGAGGACCUUGCCAUCACCCGGAUCUUUUCUACCUUCUCCAUUCUCUCAUCAGGUGCGUAAUUUCGAAACUCGAUUCCUUCAACUACUUCUCCACUUCCUUGCUGGUAAUCUGGUCCUAGAAUUCCACAUUCUGUAGCUAUAGCUUUAGCUGUGAACAUGUUGUCUCCAGUAAUCAUUUUGAUGCUCACCCCUGCAGAUUGGCAAGCCUGCACAGCUUUCUUGACCCCUGGCCGACAUGGAUCCUUUAAACCAACUAUCCCAAGCAAGGUUAAACCAUCUUCUUUUAUUCCACGAUUCGUCUUUCUGCUUUGAUCAUCACCAUCUUCUGUCUCUCCUUUCAAAACUUGCUUAUGAGCAAAAGCAAUGCAUCGUAGACUACUGGCUGCCAUGCUUUGGAUUAUGGUUUCGAUUCUGUCCCUUCCGUCUUCGUUCAUCGACCGUAUGGUCCCAUUGCUUUCAUAAUAUUGUGAACACAUGGCUACAAUCAUCUCUGCAGCUCCUUUCCAAUGUAUGUGUACCAUUUCAUCAGCCUUUUUCUGAACUGAUACCCCGCUACGCUUUUUCUCCGAGUUGAAGGUUUCAACGUGGAGAAUGCUGUAUUGUUGCUUCAGCUUUUCAAUAUUCAUAUCCAAGCCUAGGACACCCCAAGACAGAAUUGCCUUCUCGGUUGGACUGCCUGAAAACUCGGGAAGGGAUCCCGAGACAGGUUUGCAGACACUACCAGUUGUGUUCAAUCCAACUCCUUGGUAGAAUAAUUCAAGAACACUUGGGGCAAUUUUUUUGGCAAGAUCUUCUUCAACGGACUCUUGGCCGAGCCAAAACUGGGUAACUUUCAUCUGAUUCAAUGUCAAGGUGCCAGUUUUGUCCGUACAAAUGAUUGUAGCCGAGCCCAUUGUUUCACAAGCUGAAAGUUUUCGAACCAUUGCUUGAUCAGCCAUCAUUCUUUUCAUCGAGUAAGCAAGUGUAAGAGUGACAGCCAAUGGUAGACCUUCUGGGAUAGCCACGACCACAAUCGUUACUGCAGCAGCAAUAAUACGAACAACUGCAUUCAAGAUAUCGUCUACAUCGGUCUCACUCCCACGAUACUCUGUCUGGCCAUUGUCAUCUUUCGUAUUUCCAGUGAAAUAACGAAUUAACAAGACUGCAAGAACUAGAAAGGCAACCACAAGACCUACCUUUCCGAUGGAAGAGGUCAGUUUGUCAAGUCGAGCUUGUAGCGGCGUUCUCUCGUUUUUAUCACUGGUUAUUGAACUCAUCAUUUCACCCCAUGCAGUAUCCAUUCCGACUGAUACUACAAGCAUUCGAGCGUAUCCAUCGACUACCUUAGAACCAGAAGAAAGAAAAGGGUUCCUGCAAGCAUCAACUUCCACAUGGUCGCUCUCGCCCGUCAUGCUUGAUUCAUCCACUUGCAGUGAAUGUCCAU